GAAACUUUUACGGCAAGCAAAGUUUCCUACGCCGCCGACACUUUGAUGAACUCCUCUAAUGAGCUCCUCAUAACACACAAAAGGCCCGCCCCCACCCACCACUUUGGUCGUGUGUUCGUGUGUGUCUAGGGCUUUGUGCCGAACGGGAAACAAACAAAAAAAAAAUCACUCCACUUUGCAAAUUCCAUCGGUAGCCAUUGACUUUGAUUCCGCUUCGAGGGCGGCGGGAGGGAGGGAAUCUUAUCAGAUCCAAAAAGGGAACGAGCCUGCUUCUGAAAGGGCUCACUCCCACCCCCAAGGUCAUGCGCUGUUCAGCUGCUGUUCCGUUUCUAGCACACCUGUAUGAAUUUGGCUCUCUCGCUGGCUGCUCUCCUCUGUUCGAGGGGCCUGCGCACACGGCGGAGAGGAGCUCGCUCUGCUGCCAGGACUAGGACAACGCAGCAGCAGCAGCAGCGAUGUCUGCAGAGGCAGCAACAGCUUUGUCCGUUUGCCUCAACGCCAAGAGAAGCAGAAGCAGGAGGAGGAG
Long non-coding RNA from Drosophila pseudoobscura, 526 nucleotides. RefSeq lists it as uncharacterized. Lineage: Eukaryota; Metazoa; Arthropoda; Insecta; Diptera; Drosophilidae. The record is from RefSeq and is a predicted model, not a curated record. The transcript has 3 exons.